Austrofundulus limnaeus is the source of this 1058-nucleotide long non-coding RNA. RefSeq lists it as uncharacterized. Lineage: Eukaryota; Metazoa; Chordata; Actinopteri; Cyprinodontiformes; Rivulidae. The transcript has 2 exons. The record is from RefSeq and is a predicted model, not a curated record.
UGUUCAGGUCCGGAAUCUGAACCUAGCCUUCCAGGCUGCGGAGAGCAUCGGCAUCAAAUCCUCCCUGGACAUGGAGGAGCUGAUGAAGACGGACCGGCCGGACUGGCAGAGCGUGAUGCAGUACGUCUCUCAGAUCUACAAGUACUUUGAGACCUGACGAGGGACCACGCUGUGGACCAGAAGCACCGCAGCUCUCUUCAGCUCCAUCCAUCUGCACUAAAUCUUCUUUCCACGCUGACUGAAAGCUGCCUUGUUGACCUUAUCUAACGCUCAAGGAAAGACGGAGGAGUCUAACGAAACGUUAGAAGUCAGAGUGAAAACCAGUCGCAGAGCGUCUUAUCCACAAACUACAGUAAACAGYAAAAUGAACACAUACUUAAUUGGUCCAAUUUUUUUGACAAAACCUUUUUUUUCUCACCUGCUGUUAACACUUUUCUAAAACUUCUACAAAAAAAUAUUUGAACAUUUAAAAAAAAGUGCCAAAGUCUUUUGCCAAAAUGCAGCUCGGACCAUCUACGCAUGAUAAAGAUGUGRCGUUUCCUCUCAGUCAGCAAGAGCAAAACCGUGUGAAGAGAGUUCAGUAAAUGUCCAGAACUUGCUGAAUGAGUUGGAGUCGUGUUUGAGAGAAGAAGAUGUUUACAGUGAAAGUCCAGCUGAAGCCUCAACAUCUGGAUCGUCUUUGAGGGAGGAAGCUGUCACCGUCUGUCGAGUCGAGCCACUUAAACCUGAGGGUGUAAAAGUGAGUAACAGUUUCCCAGGAAUACUCUUGUGGAACCGGGCUGAUCUUUACGCUCACGCUGGGCUGUUUCUCCACAUCCCAUCGACUCUCUGAAGCUGCAGAGCGUUUGUGUUCGACCAGCUGAGUCAUGGAGGAGGAGGAGGUUUCUGUGUGCUGACGUUUGGACACGCUCCAGUUUGCAGACACCUGAUUAUKCUGGGGAAUAAAAAAAGUUGUAUUUAUUUAUUUACUGAGCGUUGAGAGUGUGGACAGAAAUCUGUUGACGGACGUCAGAAAUGUUAAGUUUUACUUAAUAAAGAAUGUGGAGAUUUACUUUAAA